GUAAAAUGUGUUAGAUGCAAGGAAAAAAAAAAAAAGACAUUUGAUUUGACACAAAAAAAGAAAUCUGAUGGAUGAUUGGAAGCCACUAUCAGCUCUGCUUUUCUCCACAUGCCUCUGGGUUACGCUAAGCCUAAGUUCCAAGAAAUGGGUCAGAACACGCUUGUUUGUGCUUGACCACACACAUACUUUGCACGGCGCAAUCAUCAUUAAUUAGCAAACUGACACGUGUGCAUACCUGGACAGACAGCCAUCCUGAGCGUGCAUGCAUCCUUUGGGCAGGGAGCCCACAGAUCUGCAAAGCAUUCAUCCAAACACACAUACACACAAACUCUGUCCCUGAAAACUGAACAGUACCGAUGUCUCAGUUGUCCUCUGCAACUUGGAGAUAAAAGUCCUCCGGCUGAUGUUGGCAAAGGAGUCAGAGAUCCACAAAGAGCAGUUGUUAUGCAAUAGUUAAUAGUAAUAUUAGUGAUGGAUAACUCUUGGCCUAUUUUAGCCUGAAGAAAGAAUCUGGGAGUUCACGUGUGUAUACACACAUACUUGGGAAAAACAAGAGCAUGGGUUUGAACAGCGGUCACAGCCUGCACAAAGGAGGGCUUUCUGCCCGAUACAUUAUCAAAGCUGCAGUCCUGUGGCUUCCUAAAGCAACUGAAGUCUUAUAUUUUAUUCUUACAACAAGUUUAAACAGUCUCAGGAAUGUUCAUGUAAAACUACAUCUUAAAUCAGAUAAAAAUCAAGUAGUUAGACAACAAAGGCAUUUAUAUAAGCAACACUAUCUUCAGGUAGAUCUCUGCUAAAGGUUCACAGCUUUAGCAAUACCCAAACCCAUAACCUCUGGCAGGAUCUUGAAAGCCUUCUGGCUGCAGGUUGUUAGGCCAGGGGCCUCUCCCUGUCUAGUCUGGGCAAUCUGCCACAGCCAGAAUGACAAAGCAAAAAAUGCUUUUGUAUCAUGUGCUCGCUCUCCAUAAGAUUCCAUCCAUUAAUGGCAAUUACCAUAACCCCCUGCUGGCGAAUCGAUACUUUCCUGGAAUCAGUUUGCAUGUACCGUCUCUCAGACUAAGGCUGCUCACCUGGAUCAGUGAGCUGCUCCAAGCAGUCCUCAGAGAUGCAACACUCAGGACAGCUCUCUUUGCUGGAGAGAGCUUCCUCAUGCACCAAAGUCCGCGCUGGUCCUGAGGCCUGGCCUCUGAACUUUAGACCCGGGUAACUCCUGGCGGGGGGGUGCGAAAAAAGGCAUGGCUGCUUUCAGAGGCCUUGACCACAGGGGCAACUGGCAAGCCCUGCAGAACAACCUGUUCAUGUGCAGAAAUGCUCCAGGAUAAGAACUGCCAUGUUCUGCAGAAGAACACACCAAGGGAUCGAAUCAUACAUGGUGGGAUAUGCAAGCUCCAGCCCUUAGCUGCUCACCAGGAAGGGGCUGAAGGCUCUGCAAGGCAAAGCUGUGCUCUGAUUUAGCUUGGUUCCAAAUGCCACACAGCAAGACAUAAUUAAAAGGAAAGAACUCCGCAAUGUUUUUGUGACAAAAUAAUAUAAUUAAAAAAUAGCUGUCUUCGGUA
Lagopus leucura (white-tailed ptarmigan) is the source of this 1556-nucleotide long non-coding RNA. RefSeq lists it as uncharacterized. NCBI's taxonomy places the organism in Eukaryota, Metazoa, Chordata, Aves, Galliformes, Phasianidae. The transcript has 2 exons. The record is from RefSeq and is a predicted model, not a curated record.